AACGAACGCUGGCGGCAUGCCUAACACAUGCAAGUCGAACGAGACCUUCGGGUCUAGUGGCGCACGGGUGCGUAACGCGUGGGAACCUGCCCUUAGGUUCGGAAUAACUCCCCGAAAGGGGUGCUAAUACCGGAUAAUGUCUUCGGACCAAAGAUUUAUCGCCUUUGGAUGGGCCCGCGUUGGAUUAGCUAGUUGGUAGGGUAAAAGCCUACCAAGGCGAAGAUCCAUAGCUGGUCUGAGAGGAUGAUCAGCCACAAGGGGGCUGAGACGCGGCGCACACGCCUCCGGGGGGAGGCAGUGGGGAAGAUUGGGCAAGGGGGGCAAAACUGAUAACCCAGUACUGUGGGGGGGAAGAGGGGUGUCUGAGGGUAAAAAGCUUUUUGCAGGGGGGAAGAAAGUGACGGUACCGGGAAAAGAAGCGCCGGCUAACUCCGUG
Molecule: ribosomal RNA, 436 nt
Filed under: uncultured bacterium
Lineage: Bacteria
Description: partial 16S ribosomal RNA
Rfam family: Bacterial small subunit ribosomal RNA
Source: RNAcentral